AUGCUCACACUUGAAAAGCAGACCUUGAGACGUGAGACAGUUUGCUCAAGAUCAAAGAGGUUCAGAACUCAAUUACUUCACUAAGAAGACUUUUUCAAUGAAACCUACCACUUGGUUACAACUUGUCUCUGCUGUAGUGUCCUUUAUCCUGUACUUGAUCCCAAGAAGAUCGACAAUGAUGAGUGCCAUCCACCGACAACUUCUCCUUGCUUACGUGAUGUAUAGGUGCAUUAAAGCUCAGGAAGCACCAGUCUGCAAGAGUCCAGGCAGGAUCCUCAAGCCACUGUUGAAAGGCAGAGAUGAGAGGGCAGUACGUUCUCAGCAGCAUACCUGGCAUAAGCAGACUCAGGCAGUGGAAGAAAGACAUUGUCCCCACUAGAAGACACUGUCCAGGGCUCCCUGGUUUCCAUAUCAACAGGCUGGCCUGUCCCAUCACCUGCUUCUGCCUCCCCUCCUGCUCCUACAGCCCACUGUGAAUGUAGGUAAUGAGCCCAGCGUGGCCCCUCAGGGAAGACCAUCCCCAGUCAGCUGUGGCUAUGACACAUCUCACCAUCCCUCAAGAACGUGUCACCAGUUGAUCUUCUACAACAUUUCUCUUCACCUGGCAUCAGGAUUCACCCAGGAGCGGCUGCUUCCUGGGUGUGACCUAUAGUUCUACUAGAAAGGAGCAGGAAGACCUGACCUCAGGGUUGCCCCCUGACCACUCACACCCAUGACCCCUGAGACAGACCCUCUGAGCCACUCUGAUCCCCAUGUUCUUCGGAGACAGCCUCCAGUGUCUGUGUUGUCUUGGGGUUAAAA
Bos taurus (domestic cattle) is the source of this 801-nucleotide long non-coding RNA. Lineage: Eukaryota; Metazoa; Chordata; Mammalia; Artiodactyla; Bovidae. The record is from Ensembl.